This 522-nucleotide ribosomal RNA is filed under the name Fusarium avenaceum. RNAcentral describes it as "eukaryotic LSU rRNA". The stretch from base 163 to 316 matches the Rfam family "5.8S ribosomal RNA". The record is from RNAcentral. RNAcentral also lists the same sequence under 2 other names. Lineage: Eukaryota; Fungi; Ascomycota; Sordariomycetes; Hypocreales; Nectriaceae.
AGGGAUCAUUACCGAGUUUACAACUCCCAAACCCCUGUGAACAUACCUUAAUGUUGCCUCGGCGGAUCAGCCCGCGCCCCGUAAAACGGGACGGCCCGCCAGAGGACCCAAACUCUAAUGUUUCUUAUUGUAACUUCUGAGUAAAACAAACAAAUAAAUCAAAACUUUCAACAACGGAUCUCUUGGUUCUGGCAUCGAUGAAGAACGCAGCAAAAUGCGAUAAGUAAUGUGAAUUGCAGAAUUCAGUGAAUCAUCGAAUCUUUGAACGCACAUUGCGCCCGCUGGUAUUCCGGCGGGCAUGCCUGUUCGAGCGUCAUUUCAACCCUCAAGCCCCCGGGUUUGGUGUUGGGGAUCGGCUCUGCCUUCUGGCGGUGCCGCCCCCGAAAUACAUUGGCGGUCUCGCUGCAGCCUCCAUUGCGUAGUAGCUAACACCUCGCAACUGGAACGCGGCGCGGCCAUGCCGUAAAACCCCAACUUCUGAAUGUUGACCUCGGAUCAGGUAGGAAUACCCGCUGAACUUAA